This 468-nucleotide ribosomal RNA is filed under the name uncultured bacterium. RNAcentral describes it as "partial 16S ribosomal RNA". It matches the Rfam family "Bacterial small subunit ribosomal RNA", at positions 28 to 507 of the family's 1533-position model. The record is from RNAcentral.
GACGAACGCUGGCGGCGUGCUUAACACAUGCCAGUCGAACGGAAAGGCCCUGCUUUUGUGGGGUGCUCGAGUGGCGAACGGGUGAGUAACACGUGAGUAACCUGCCCUUGACUUUGGGAUAACUUCAGGAAACUGGGGCUAAUACCGGAUAGGAGCUCCUGCUGCAUGGUGGGGGUUGGAAAGUUUCGGCGGUUGGGGAUGGACUCGCGGCUUAUCAGCUUGUUGGUGGGGUAGUGGCUUACCAAGGCUUUGACGGGUAGCCGGCCUGAGAGGGUGACCGGCCACAUUGGGACUAAGGUACGGCCCAGACUCCAACGGGAGGCAGCAGUGGGGAAUAUUGCACAAUGGGCGGAAGCCUGAUGCAGCAACGCCGCGUGCGGGAUGACGGCCUUCGGGUUGUAAACCGCUUUCGCCUGUGACGAAGCGUGAGUGACGGUAAUGGGUAAAGAAGCACCGGCUAACUACGUG